RNAcentral lists this ribosomal RNA (364 nucleotides) under uncultured bacterium. RNAcentral's name for it is "bacterial SSU rRNA". It matches the Rfam family "Bacterial small subunit ribosomal RNA", at positions 441 to 793 of the family's 1533-position model. The record is from RNAcentral.
AGGAAGGUAGUGUAGUUAACACCUGCAUUAUUUGACGUUACCUACAGAAGAAGCACCGGCUAACUCCGUGCCAGCAGCCGCGGUAAUACGGAGGGUGCGAGCGUUAAUCGGAAUUACUGGGCGUAAAGACGCAUGCAGGCGGCCUGUUAAGUCAGAUGUGAAAGACCCGGGGCGUUAACCUCCGGAAUUGCAUUUGUAAACUAGGCAGGCUAGAGUCUUGUAGAGGGGGGUAGGAAUUUCAGGUGUAGCGGUGAAAUGCGUAGAGAUCUGAAGGAAUACCAGUGGCGAAGGCGGCCCCCUCGGACAAAGACUGACGCUCAGAUGCGAAAGCGUGGGGAGCAAACAGGAUUAGAUACCCUGGUAG